UACGAAGGGGGCUAGCGUUGUUCGGAAUUACUGGGCGUAAAGCGCACGUAGGCGGAUUUGUAAGUCAGGGGUGAAAUCCCGGGGCUCAACCUCGGAACUGCCUUUGAUACUGCAAGUCUCGAGUCCGAUAGAGGUGAGUGGAAUUCCUAGUGUAGAGGUGAAAUUCGUAGAUAUUAGGAAGAACACCAGUGGCGAAGGCGGCUCACUGGCCCGGUACUGACGCUGAGGUGCGAAAGCGUGGGGAGCAAACAGG
This 253-nucleotide ribosomal RNA is filed under the name uncultured bacterium. RNAcentral's name for it is "partial 16S ribosomal RNA". It matches the Rfam family "Bacterial small subunit ribosomal RNA", at positions 524 to 776 of the family's 1533-position model. The record is from RNAcentral.